GAGAAGAACAGAGAAGAUUAGCAUGGCCCCUGCCCAAGGAUGACAGGCACAAAUCGAGAAAUGGUACAAAUUUUU
Brassica napus (rape) is the source of this 75-nucleotide non-coding RNA. The record is from Rfam. NCBI's taxonomy places the organism in Eukaryota, Viridiplantae, Streptophyta, Magnoliopsida, Brassicales, Brassicaceae.